GACGAACGCUGGCGGCGUGCUUAACACAUGCAAGUCGAACGGAAAGGCCCUGCUUUUGUGGGGUGCUCGAGUGGCGAACGGGUGAGUAACACGUGAGUAACCUGCCCUUGACUUUGGGAUAACUUCAGGGAGCUGGGGCUAAUACCGGAUAGGAGCUCCUGCUGCAUGGUGGGGGUUGGAAAGUUUCGGCGGGUGGGGAUGGACUCGCGGCUUAUCAGCUUGUUGGUGGGGUAGUGGCUUACCAAGGCUUUGACGGGUAGCCGGCCUGAGAGGGUGACCGGCCACAUUGGGACUGAGAUACGGCCCAGACUCCUACGGGAGGCAGCAGUGGGGAAUAUUGCACAAUGGGCGGAAGCCUGAUGCAGCAACGCCGCGUGCGGGAUGACGGCCUUCGGGUUGUAAACCGCUUUCGCCUGUGACGAAGCGUGAGUGACGGUAAUGGGUAAAGAAGCACCGGCUAACUACGUG
This 468-nucleotide ribosomal RNA is filed under the name uncultured bacterium. RNAcentral's name for it is "partial 16S ribosomal RNA". It matches the Rfam family "Bacterial small subunit ribosomal RNA", at positions 28 to 507 of the family's 1533-position model. The record is from RNAcentral.